GAUAAGAACGCAGCGAAAUGCGAUAAGUAAUGUGAAUUGCAGAAUUCAGUGAAUCAUCGAAUCUUUGAACGCAUCUUGCGCUCCUUGGUAUUCUGAGGAGCAUGCCUGUUUGAGUGUCAUUAAAUUCUCAACUACACUGACUUUGAAUUGGUGUGGCUUGGAUUUGGGGGGAAAAUUGUUGUGGGCUUUUUGUAUAGUCUGCUCCCCUGAAAUUGAUUAGCGGUACCUUUGUGGAACUGUCUACAGGUGUGAUAAUUAUCUACAUCUUAGACAUCUGCUGGAAUGCUGCUUUCUAAACCUUACUUGUAUUGACAAUCUUGACCUCAAAUCAGGUAGGACUACCCGCUGAACUUAAGCAUAUCAAUAAGCGGAGGA
RNAcentral lists this unclassified non-coding RNA (375 nucleotides) under soil metagenome. RNAcentral's name for it is "partial contains 5.8S ribosomal RNA, internal transcribed spacer 2, and large subunit ribosomal RNA". The stretch from base 4 to 119 matches the Rfam family "5.8S ribosomal RNA", at positions 39 to 154 of the family's 154-position model. The record is from RNAcentral.